RNAcentral lists this ribosomal RNA (253 nucleotides) under uncultured bacterium. Its description in RNAcentral is "partial 16S ribosomal RNA". It matches the Rfam family "Bacterial small subunit ribosomal RNA", at positions 524 to 776 of the family's 1533-position model. The record is from RNAcentral.
UACGGAGGAUCCAAGCGUUGUCCGGAUUUAUUGGGUUUAAAGGGUGCGUAGGCGGUCUAUUAAGUCAGUUGUGAAAUACGGCAGCUCAACUGUCGAGGUGCAAUUGAUACUGAUGGACUUGAGUACUGAUGAGGUAAGCGGAAUGGACGGUGUAGCGGUGAAAUGCUUAGAUAUCGUCCAGAACACCGAUAGCGAAGGCAGCUUACUAAGGAGUAACUGACGCUGAGGCACGAAAGUGUGGGGAUCAAACAGG